This 527-nucleotide ribosomal RNA is filed under the name Salmonella enterica. RNAcentral describes it as "partial 23S ribosomal RNA". It matches the Rfam family "Bacterial large subunit ribosomal RNA", at positions 711 to 1235 of the family's 2925-position model. Lineage: Bacteria; Pseudomonadati; Pseudomonadota; Gammaproteobacteria; Enterobacterales; Enterobacteriaceae. The record is from RNAcentral.
AGACCCGAAACCCGGUGAUCUAGCCAUGGGCAGGUUGAAGGUUGGGUAACACUAACUGGAGGACCGAACCGACUAAUGUUGAAAAAUUAGCGGAUGACCUGUGGCUGGGGGUGAAAGGCCAAUCAAACCGGGAGAUAGCUGGUUCUCCCCGAAAGCUAUUUAGGUAGCGCCUCGUGAAUUCAUCUCCGGGGGUAGAGCACUGUUUCGGCUAGGGGGCCAUCCCGGCUUACCAACCCGAUGCAAACUGCGAAUACCGGAGAAUGUUAUCACGGGAGACACACGGCGGGUGCUAACGUCCGUCGUGAAGAGGGAAACAACCCAGACCGCCAGCUAAGGUCCCAAAGUCAUGGUUAAGUGGGAAACGAUGUGGGAAGGCCCAGACAGCCAGGAUGUUGGCUUAGAAGCAGCCAUCAUUUAAAGAAAGCGUAAUAGCUCACUGGUCGAGUCGGCCUGCGCGGAAGAUGUAACGGGGCUAAACCAUGCACCGAAGCUGCGGCAGCGACGCUGAUGCGUUGUUGGGUAGGGGA